Molecule: microRNA precursor, 72 nt
Organism: Gorilla gorilla gorilla (western lowland gorilla)
Lineage: Eukaryota; Metazoa; Chordata; Mammalia; Primates; Hominidae
Source: Ensembl
GUUGGUGCAAAAGUAAUUGCGGUUUUUGCCCUUGAAAGUAAUGACAGAAACCACAAAUACUUUUGCAGCAAU